This 1484-nucleotide ribosomal RNA is filed under the name uncultured organism. RNAcentral's name for it is "SSU rRNA". It matches the Rfam family "Bacterial small subunit ribosomal RNA". The record is from RNAcentral.
GGCGGCGUGCCUAAUACAUGCAAGUCGAGCGAGCGGAACUAACAGAUUUACUUCGGUAAUGACGUUAGGAAAGCGAGCGGCGGAUGGGUGAGUAACACGUGGGGAACCUGCCCCAUAGUCUGGGAUACCACUUGGAAACAGGUGCUAAUACCGGAUAAGAAAGCAGAUCGCAUGAUCAGCUUUUAAAAGGCGGCGUAAGCUGUCGCUAUGGGAUGGCCCCGCGGUGCAUUAGCUAGUUGGUAAGGUAAAGGCUUACCAAGGCGAUGAUGCAUAGCCGAGUUGAGAGACUGAUCGGCCACAUUGGGACUGAGACACGGCCCAAACUCCUACGGGAGGCAGCAGUAGGGAAUCUUCCACAAUGGACGCAAGUCUGAUGGAGCAACGCCGCGUGAGUGAAGAAGGUUUUCGGAUCGUAAAGCUCUGUUGUUGGUGAAGAAGGAUAGAGGUAGUAACUGGCCUUUAUUUGACGGUAAUCAACCAGAAAGUCACGGCUAACUACGUGCCAGCAGCCGCGGUAAUACGUAGGUGGCAAGCGUUGUCCGGAUUUAUUGGGCGUAAAGCGAGCGCAGGCGGAAGAAUAAGUCUGAUGUGAAAGCCCUCGGCUUAACCGAGGAACUGCAUCGGAAACUGUUUUUCUUGAGUGCAGAAGAGGAGAGUGGAACUCCAUGUGUAGCGGUGGAAUGCGUAGAUAUAUGGAAGAACACCAGUGGCGAAGGCGGCUCUCUGGUCUGCAACUGACGCUGAGGCUCGAAAGCAUGGGUAGCGAACAGGAUUAGAUACCCUGGUAGUCCAUGCCGUAAACGAUGAGUGCUAAGUGUUGGGAGGUUUCCGCCUCUCAGUGCUGCAGCUAACGCAUUAAGCACUCCGCCUGGGGAGUACGACCGCAAGGUUGAAACUCAAAGGAAUUGACGGGGGCCCGCACAAGCGGUGGAGCAUGUGGUUUAAUUCGAAGCAACGCGAAGAACCUUACCAGGUCUUGACAUCUAGUGUCAUUUGUAGAGAUACAAAGUUCCCUUCGGGGACGCUAAGACAGGUGGUGCAUGGCUGUCGUCAGCUCGUGUCGUGAGAUGUUGGGUUAAGUCCCGCAACGAGCGCAACCCUUGUUAUUAGUUGCCAGCAUUAAGUUGGGCACUCUAAUGAGACUGCCGGUGACAAACCGGAGGAAGGUGGGGAUGACGUCAAGUCAUCAUGCCCCUUAUGACCUGGGCUACACACGUGCUACAAUGGGCAGUACAACGAGAAGCGAGCCUGCGAAGGCAAGCGAAUCUCUGAAAGCUGUUCUCAGUUCGGACUGCAGUCUGCAACUCGACUGCACGAAGCUGGAAUCGCUAGUAAUCGCGGAUCAGCACGCCGCGGUGAAUACGUUCCCGGGCCUUGUACACACCGCCCGUCACACCAUGGGAGUCUGCAAUGCCCAAAGCCGGUGGCCUAACCUUCGGGAAGGAGCCGUCUAAGGCAGGGCAGAUGACUGGGGUGAAGUCGUA